UUUAUCAGUUGAGGAAACAGGCCCAAGUAGCAUGACUUGUUCGCGCCGCUAGUCGAAGGAGCAGCAGCCCCGAUCCCUUGACUCUGGGGCACUGCUUUCCCUUUAGCUCAUUUUUGGAGGAAAUGGGUGCGCCCUUGCUCGACCUUUGGUGAUUGCCGCCACAGGCCUUCCCGCCGGCUAACUCAGCGUGCCCAAGUCCCGUGACUUAGUGCCAGGAC
This is a long non-coding RNA of Homo sapiens (human), 218 nucleotides long. Ensembl annotates it as EPM2A divergent transcript. Its record names the gene EPM2A-DT. Lineage: Eukaryota; Metazoa; Chordata; Mammalia; Primates; Hominidae. The record is from Ensembl.